Molecule: ribosomal RNA, 238 nt
Filed under: uncultured bacterium
Lineage: Bacteria
Description: partial 16S ribosomal RNA
Rfam family: Bacterial small subunit ribosomal RNA
Source: RNAcentral
UCACCCUACGGGAGGCAGCAGUAGGGAAUCUUCCACAAUGGACGAAAGUCUGAUGGAGCAACGCCGCGUGAGUGAAGAAGGGUUUCGGCUCGUAAAGCUCUGUUGGUAGUGAAGAAAGAUAGAGGUAGUAACUGGCCUUUAUUUGACGGUAAUUUCUUAGAAAGUCACGGCUAACUUCGUGCCAGCAGCCGCGGUAAUACGGAGGUGGCAAGCGUUGUGCGGAUUUAUUGGGCGUAAA